CCUACGGUGGGUAGCAGUGAGGAAUAUUGGUCAAUGGGCGCGAGCCUGAACCAGCCAAGUCGCGUGAGGGAAGACGGUCCUAUGGAUUGUAAACCUCUUUUGUCGGGGAGCAAAAGACGCCACGCGUGGCGUUCCGAGAGUACCCGACGAAAAAGCAUCGGCUAACUCCGUGCCAGCAGCCGCGGUAAUACGGAGGAUGCGAGCGUUAUCCGGAUUUAUUGGGUUUAAAGGGUGCGCAGGCGGAAGAUCAAGUCAGCGGUAAAAUUGAGAGGCUCAACCUCUUCGAGCCGUUGAAACUGGUUUUCUGGAGUACAGUUGAGGUAGGCGGAAUUCGUGGUGUAGCGGUGAAAUGCUUAGAUAUCACGAAGAACCCCGAUUGCGAAGGCAGCUUACUAAACUGUGACUGACAUUGAUGCUCGAAAGUGUGGGUAUCAAACAGGAUUAGAUACCCCUGUAGUC
Molecule: ribosomal RNA, 459 nt
Filed under: uncultured bacterium
Lineage: Bacteria
Description: partial 16S ribosomal RNA
Rfam family: Bacterial small subunit ribosomal RNA
Source: RNAcentral